GUCUCCUACGGGAGGCAGCAGUUGGGAAUCUUCCACAAUGGACGAAAGUCUGAUGGAGCAACGCCGCGUGAGUGAAGAAGGGUUUCGGCUCGUAAAGCUCUGUUGGUAGUGAAGAAAGAUAGAGGUAGUAACUGGCCUUUAUUUGACGGGAAUUACUUAGAAAGUCACGGCUAACUACGUGCCCGCAGCCGCGGUAAUACGUAGGUGGCAAGCGUUGUCCGGAUUUAUUGGGCGUAAAGGGUGCGUAGACGGGAAGUCAAGUUAGUUGUGAAAUCCCUCGGCUUAACUGAGGAACUGCAACUAAA
RNAcentral lists this ribosomal RNA (305 nucleotides) under uncultured bacterium. RNAcentral describes it as "bacterial SSU rRNA". It matches the Rfam family "Bacterial small subunit ribosomal RNA", at positions 334 to 631 of the family's 1533-position model. The record is from RNAcentral.